GCUUAUGGAAAUGUGGAAAUAUGUAUUUGUAUUAUGCAAGUGCCUAUUAAAAGCAUUUGACAAAAAGAAGACGGGGGGCGGCAGCCGGAGAGGUAGGAGAGGGCGUGGCUUGAUUGGUGCAACUGUUGCAUGGGCCAAAGUUGAAUUUCUUAAUGCAUUUCCGUUGCUGCAAUUGAAGUCAAACUCGAGCGAAGGACGAAGGACCUGCUAAUGUACAGCAGCAGCUAAAAUAAUAAGCGCGAGUCGGCUGUAGCCGACCAGGCGAUGCUCUACUUGUGGUGGGAAGGCUGCUGAAGGGUAUUGAAAGCACAGCGAGAGAAAAAGAUUCCCUUUGAUUUAUGGCACAUUAGGGCAAGAUAAUUAUGCCAAAGUGAAAUCCUAUACAAUAUAUGCCCUAUCUAUGCUAUGCCUUUCUAUAACUAUAACCAUAUAUUUUAUGUAUUUUUAUUUCCAUCAAAACUGGCAACUAAUAUACCCCAUCUGCAACUUGCUUUACGGCGCAUAAGUAUUUGCUGCAUGCAACUGAAGGCAAGAAAUAAAAAUCAAGCCUUUGGCUUUUUAUGUUGUGCAUUAGCCUGCGCACAAAAUGUAA
Molecule: long non-coding RNA, 592 nt
Organism: Drosophila mojavensis
Lineage: Eukaryota; Metazoa; Arthropoda; Insecta; Diptera; Drosophilidae
Exons: 2
Source: RefSeq, a predicted model, not a curated record